UACGGAGGGUGCAAGCGUUACUCGGAAUCACUGGGCGUAAAGCGCGCGCAGGCGGGUUUGUAAGUUGGAUGUGAAAGCCUACGGCUCAACCGUAGAACUGCAUCCAAAACUACUUACCUAGAGUGUGGGAGGGGAAGAUGGAAUUAGUUGUGUAGGGGUAAAAUCCGUAGAGAUAACUAGGAAUAUCAAAAGCGAAGGCGAUCUUCUGGAACACUACUGACGCUGAGGCGCGAAAGCGUGGGGAGCAAACAGGAUUAGAUACCCUGGUAGUCCACGCCCUAAACGAUGAAUGUUAGUCGUCGGGAUGCAAGUCAUUUCGGUGAUUCAGUUAACACAUUAAACAUUCCGCCUGGGGAGUACGGUCGCAAGAUUAAAACUCAAAGGAAUAGACGGGGACCCGCACAAGUGGUGGAGCAUGUGGUUUAAUUCGAAGAUACGCGAAGAACCUUACCUAGCCUUGACAUUGAUAGAAUCUGGUAGAGAUAUCGGAGUGCCCUUCGGGGAGCUUGAAAACAGGUGCUGCACGGCUGUCGUCAGCUCGUGUCGUGAGAUGUUGGGUUAAGUCCCGCAACGAGCGCAACCCUCGUCCUUAGUUACUAACGGUUCGGCCGAGGACUCUAAGGAGACUGCCUUCGCAAGGAGGAGGAAGGUGAGGACGACGUCAAGUCAUCAUGGCCCUUACGGCUAGGGCGACACACGUGCUACAAUGGAUAGGACAAUGAGACGCAAUACCGCGAGGUGGAGCAAAUCUAUAAACCUAUUCUCAGUUCGGAUUGUAGUCUGCAACUCGACUACAUGAAGCUGGAAUCA
Molecule: ribosomal RNA, 810 nt
Filed under: uncultured Sulfurovum sp.
Lineage: Bacteria; Pseudomonadati; Campylobacterota; Epsilonproteobacteria; Campylobacterales; Sulfurovaceae
Description: bacterial SSU rRNA
Rfam family: Bacterial small subunit ribosomal RNA
Source: RNAcentral